RNAcentral lists this ribosomal RNA (500 nucleotides) under uncultured bacterium. RNAcentral's name for it is "partial 16S ribosomal RNA". It matches the Rfam family "Bacterial small subunit ribosomal RNA", at positions 30 to 523 of the family's 1533-position model. The record is from RNAcentral.
AUUGAACGCUGGCGGAAUGCUUUACACAUGCAAGUCGAACGGCAGCACGGACUUCGGUCUGGUGGCGAGUGGCGAACGGGUGAGUAACAUAUCGGAACGUAUCCAAUAAUGGGGGAUAACGAUUCGAAAGAUUCGCUAAUACCGCAUACGCCCUACGGGGGAAAGCGGGGGACCUUCGGGCCUGGCGUUAAUGGAGCGGCCGAUAUCUGAUUAGCUAGGUGGUGAGGUAAAGGCUCACCAAGGCGACGAUCAGUAGCUGGUCUGAGAGGACGACCAGCCACACUGGAACUUGGACACGGUCCAGACUCCUACGGGAGGCAGCAGUGGGGAAUUUUGGACAAUGGGCGCAAGCCUGAUCCAGCCAUUCCGCGUGAGUGAAGAAGGCCUUCGGGUUGUAAAGCUCUUUCGCAAGGGAAGAAAACUUAGCCACUAACAUUGGUUGAGGUUGACGGUACCUUGAUAAGGAGCACCGGCUAACUACGUGCCAGCCGCCGCCGUAA